UGGGGGAUAUUGCACAAUGGGCGAAAGCCUGAUGCAGCGACGCCGCGUGGGGGAUGAAGGCCUUCGGGUUGUAAACUUCUUUUGCUCUGAGCAAGGCAUGCUAAUGGGUGUGUUGAGUGUAGGGGUUGAUUAGCGCCGGCUAACUACGUGCCAGCAGCCGCGGUAAUACGUAGGGCGCGAGCGUUGUCCGGAAUUAUUGGGCGUAAAGGGCUUGUAGGUGGCUGGUUGCGUCUGUCGUGAAAGCUCAUGGCUUAACUGUGGGUUUGCGGUGGGUACGGGCUGGCUUGAGUGCAGUAGGGGAGGCUGGAAUUCCUGGUGUAGCGGUGGAAUGCGCAGAUAUCAGGAGGAAUACCGGUGGCGAAGGCGGGUCUCUGGGCUGUUACUGACACUGAGGAGCGAAAGCAUGGGGAGCGAACAGG
RNAcentral lists this ribosomal RNA (419 nucleotides) under bacterium. RNAcentral describes it as "partial 16S ribosomal RNA". It matches the Rfam family "Bacterial small subunit ribosomal RNA", at positions 355 to 776 of the family's 1533-position model. The record is from RNAcentral.